RNAcentral lists this ribosomal RNA (509 nucleotides) under uncultured Ascomycota. Its description in RNAcentral is "SSU rRNA". It matches the Rfam family "Eukaryotic small subunit ribosomal RNA", at positions 569 to 1082 of the family's 1831-position model. The record is from RNAcentral. Lineage: Eukaryota; Fungi; Ascomycota.
AGCAGCCGCGGUAAUUCCAGCUCCAAUAGCGUAUAUUAAAGUUGUUGCAGUUAAAAAGCUCGUAGUUGAACCUUGGGCCUGGCUGGCCGGUCCGCCUCACCGCGUGUACUGGUCCGGCCGGGCCUUUCCUUCUGGGGAACCUCAUGCCCUUCACUGGGCGUGUUGGGGAACCAGGACUUUUACUUUGAAAAAAUUAGGGUGUUCAAAGCAGGCCUUUGCUCGAAUACAUUAGCAUGGAAUAAUAGAAUAGGACGUGUGGUUCUAUUUUGUUGGUUUCUAGGACCGCCGUAAUGAUUAAUAGGGAUAGUCGGGGGCAUCAGUAGUCAAUCGUCAGAGGUGAAAUUCUUGGAUUGAUUGAAGACUAACUACUGCGAAAGCAUUUGCCAAGGAUGUUUUCAUUAAUCAGUGAACGAAAGUUAGGGGAUCGAAGACGAUCAGAUACCGUCGUAGUCUUAACCAUAAACUAUGCCGACUAGGGAUCGGACGGUGUUAGUAUUUUGACCCGUUCG